Talpa occidentalis (Iberian mole) is the source of this 2325-nucleotide long non-coding RNA. RefSeq lists it as uncharacterized. Lineage: Eukaryota; Metazoa; Chordata; Mammalia; Eulipotyphla; Talpidae. The record is from RefSeq and is a predicted model, not a curated record. The transcript is spliced from 3 exons.
UUACUGUCCAGGGCAUACCAGAAGCUGGGAAAAGCCUACACAACACCAGAACUCACCUCCCCUAGGGAGACCCACCCAAGUAGCCACACUAAGAAUUUCCUCCCUACAGAGCAACUGCAAAGCUGCCCCCAGACACAGGGAAACCCCGGGAUAGCAACUCCCAGCCGAGAGACUCCACUCGCGCUGCCGCGGCCAGAUGGAAGCAAUCAGAACCCAGCAACCACAGAGGAAGAAAGAAGAAAAAACCUCACUGAAUUUUUCGGGCCAGAGUGUGUCUGGGGGAGUGUGUGAAAGAACUUGCUUAAGCAAACUUUGAAGUGACGAACCGGGGGCCUCCAGCUUCAGCACAGCCCAGCAGUGAGCUCCCUGGCUUGGAGAUGCUCGCGGGCAGCUGACUAAAGCGCCUCCCACCCCUUGACCACCAGCCUCUCCAGGGUUCAGGGGCCUGACCCACAGAGCUGAUUUUCCUUGCUAGCAUUUGUGUAGCAGUUACUAUGUGACAGGUGACACAUUACACGUCCUUUAUAUUCUUUAGUCUGCAAAACUGCGAGGUAGGUGUUCUUCCCCCAUUGUAUAGGCAAGAAGACUGAGGCUUAAAUAAUUUUUCUUGGUCAGAGCACUGACCCGACUUCCAUGUAUUCCAGUAGGUUGUUCAGUCAGAUUCUCCCUACUGAGACUGAUGAGAGCAUCUCUCCCCACAGCCCCUGUCCCUGCACUUACACCCUGUCUGGCAUGCAAACAAAGGAAGGAAAAGCUCAGAGACCCGCUCUACCCUCCCAGGGGUUGUUACCUGCCCAGACCCAUUUUACUGAAGGAGUUGUUAGGGGAAAAGGCAGUCCCGAGCAAACUCCACAAAUAGGUUUUAUGGACUCCACCCCCACUCCAGACCAAAGAUAUCCAAGACACUAAGAACUACAAACCCCACAAUAUCAUCAGCGUGGAAGGGAGGGUUAUUGGAAACUGAGGGUGGAGUUAAGCAGCCAGGUUUCGCAUAUAACCAGACAUGUGGGCCUUGGGGGGCUCUUGGUUUUUCUCCAGCUCUCAGCGUGCUGUUGGGGAUUCCAGCUCAGCUGAACUGACUUCACUCCUGCUGGAAUUCAGGCACUCCCAUAACCUUUUGUGGCUUAUUUUGGCAAGAAGAUGGCUGUGGAGAUGAAGACGGAAUGUUUUCUGUUUGAGGAGAGGUUGGAGACAUGGUGCCUUAAUCUCUAGAUGGUCAGAAACUGAGAUCUGAAAAAAGCAGCAGUGGAUUUGGAGCAGGCGCAAACCGGCAUAGCAGAGAAAGCCUUCAUCUGAAUGUGGAACAUCAGGGCCUGCUCACAGAUCUGGCACUAGAUGUGGGUGAGCCCCAUCUCAUUCACUCAGCAGGCUCCUGUGUCUCAGGUGAGCCUGUGACCUCAUGGUGACAUCACAGGGUGAUGUCACAUGGUGACAUCACAAAACUGAAGAGGUCCUUCCCCUCCUAAAGCUUAAUGUUUCCACAAUAACCACAAACAAAUACAUCAUCACAAGCUAGGUGAAGAAAAACUGAAAUUCUCUAAGAGCUGGUGAUGGGUGAUGUGCUGUGGUGGGAGGUCGGGGUGAGGCGCAGGGAGUGCUUUCCUGAGGAAGUGAGGUUGUACUGAUAUGAAGAAGGAAUGAGGAUAACAAAAGCAAAAAUAGAUAAAGGAAACUCCAUUACACUAAAAUGCCUCUGCACAGCAAAGGAACGACAGUAUGAAGGGCAUUCUGGAGAAUGGAAGAAAGUAUUUACAUACCAUGUAUCUGACAAAGGAUUCAUUUCCAAAUAUAUAAAAGGAACUACCAAAACUCAAUAGCAAAAAAACAAUGACUGCACUGAAAAAUAUGCUAAGGGCUUGAAUAAACAUUUCUUCAAAGAAGACAUGGAAAUGAUCAAUACGAAUAUGAAAAGAUGUUCAGCAUCGCUAAUCAUCAGGAAAAUGCAAUCAAAACUACAGUGAGCUACCACCUCACACCUGUUAGAAUGUUUAUCCAAAAAAAAAAAAAAAAAAAGAUAACAAGUGUUGACAAAGAUAGGGAGAACCUUUUACACUGUUGUUGGGAAUGUAAGAUGUUGUGGCCAUGAUGGAAAACAGUAUGGAGGUACCUCAAAAAAUUAAAACUGAAGGGCCUCCCUGGUGGCACAAGGGGCAAAGUCUCAGCACCCUCAAGCUAUCAGCAGCCAUUGCAGCAUGAGUUCCAUCCCGUCUUGCCUGCUGCUCCCCUCAGCAGUGGAUUCAGUAAAUCUGCCUGUUCUGCUCCCCACUCUGUCUCUGGUGAAUCCUCUCAGCCCCCCGCACCUCUGCCCUGCACCUCCAUUCUUGU